GGUCAAGCGAACAAGUGCAUGUGGUGGAUGCCUUGGCGAUCACAGGCGAUGAAGGACGCGGUAGCCUGCGAAAAGCUCCGGGGAGCUGGCAAACGAGCAUUGAUCCGGAGAUGUCCGAAUGGGGAAACCCACUCCUAAUGGAGUAUCCGUAGCUGAAUCCAUAGGCUGCGUGAGGCGAACGCGGUGAACUGAAACAUCUAAGUAACCGCAGGAAAAGAAAUCAACCGAGAUUCCCAGAGUAGUGGCGAGCGAAAUGGGAUCAGCCGGUACACGUUAUCUGUAUUGUUAGUCGAACGCUCUGGAAAGUGCGGCCAUAGCAGGUGAUAGCCCUGUAGACGAAAACAGCAUGGAAGAACUGGGUGUACGAGAAGUAGGGCGGGACACGUGAAAUCCUGUCUGAAGAUGGGGGGACCAUCCUCCAAGGCUAAAUACUCGUGAUCGACCGAUAGUGAACCAGUACCGUGAGGGAAAGGCGAAAAGAACCCCGGGAGGGGAGUGAAACAGAUCCUGAAACCGCAUGCAUACAAACAGUCGGAGCCUCUGCGAAGGGGUGACGGCGUACCUUUUGUAUAAUGGGUCAGCGACUUACAUUCAGUGGCGAGCUUAACCGAUUAGGGCAGGCGUAGCGAAAGCGAGUCCGAACAGGGCGUCCAGUCGCUGGGUGUAGACCCGAAACCAGGUGAUCUAUCCAUGGCCAGGUUGAAGGCACGGUAACACGUGCUGGAGGACCGAACCCACUAACGUUGAAAAGUUAGGGGAUGAGCUGUGGAUAGGGGUGAAAGGCUAAACAAACCUGGAAAUAGCUGGUUCUCUCCGAAAACUAUUUAGGUAGUGCCUCGUGUCUCACCUUCGGGGGUAGAGCACUGUCAUGGUUGUGGGGUCCAUUGCGGAUUACUACGCCAUAGCAAACUCCGAAUACCGAAGAGUGCAAUCACGGGAGACAGACAUCGGGUGCUAACGUCCGGUGUCAAGAGGGAAACAACCCAGACCGCCAGCUAAGGUCCCCAAAUAUGGCUAAGUGGGAAACGAAGUGGGAAGGCUAAAACAGUCAGGAGGUUGGCUUAGAAGCAGCCACCCUUUAAAGAAAGCGUAAUAGCUCACUGAUCGAGUCGUCCUGCGCGGAAGAUGUAACGGGGCUAAGCCAUAUACCGAAGCUGCGGAUGCACAGUAAUGUGCAUGGUAGGAGAGCGUUCCGUAAGCCUGCGAAGGUGCACUGGAAAGUGUGCUGGAGGUAUCGGAAGUGCGAAUGCUGACAUGAGUAGCGAUAAAGGGGGUGAAAGGCCCCCUCGCCGUAAGCCCAAGGUUUCCUACGCAACGUUCAUCGGCGUAGGGUGAGUCGGCCCCUAAGGCGAGGCAGAAAUGCGUAGCUGAUGGGAAGCAGAUUAAUAUUUCUGCACCAUUGUGAAAUGCGAUGGGGGGACGGAUCGCGGAAGGUUGUCCGGGUGUUGGAAGUCCCGGUCCUUGCAUUGGAGAAGGCGCUUUGGCAAAUCCGGGCGCGNNNNNNNNNNNNNNNNNNNNNNNNNNNNNNNNNNNNNNNNNNNNNNNNNNNNNNNNNNNNNNNNNNNNNNNNNNNNNNNNNNNNNNNNNNNNNNNNNNGAUUCAAGGGUGCGAGGCGAGCCACUUCGGUGGCGAAGCAACUGGAAGGGGUUCCAGGAAAAGCCUCUAAGCUUCAGUUUCACAGUGACCGUACCGCAAACCGACACAGGUGGGCGAGAUGAGUAUUCUAAGGCGCUUGAGAGAACUCGGGAGAAGGAACUCGGCAAAUUGGUACCGUAACUUCGGGAUAAGGUACGCCCUCAUAGCCUGACUGGCCUGCGCCAGAAGGGUGAAAGGGUUGCAAUAAACUGGUGGCUGCGACUGUUUAAUAAAAACACAGCACUCUGCAAACACGAAAGUGGACGUAUAGGGUGUGACGCCUGCCCGGUGCCGGAAGAUUAAAUGAUGGGGUGCAAGCUCCUGAUUGAAGUCCCGGUAAACGGCGGCCGUAACUAUAACGGUCCUAAGGUAGCGAAAUUCCUUGUCGGGUAAGUUCCGACCUGCACGAAUGGCGUAACGAUGGCCACACUGUCUCCUCCCGAGACUCAGCGAAGUUGAAGUGUUUGUGAUGAUGCAAUCUCCCCGCGGCUAGACGGAAAGACCCCAUGAACCUUUACUGCAGCUUUGCAUUGGACUUUGAACCGGUCUGUGUAGGAUAGGUGGGAGGCUAUGAAGUUGGGACGCCAGUCUCAAUGGAGCCGUCCUUGAAAUACCACCCUGAUCUGUUUGAGGUUCUAACCUUGGCCCGUGAUCCGGGUCGGGGACAGUGCAUGGUAGGCAGUUUGACUGGGGCGGUCUCCUCCCAAAGUGUAACGGAGGAGUACGAAGGUACGCUAGGUACGGUCGGAAAUCGUGCUGAUAGUGCAAUGGCAUAAGCGUGCUUGACUGUGAGACUGACAAGUCGAACAGGUGCGAAAGCAGGUCAUAGUGAUCCGGUGGUUCUGUAUGGAAGGGCCAUCGCUCAACGGAUAAAAGGUACUCUGGGGAUAACAGGCUGAUACCGCCCAAGAGUUCAUAUCGACGGCGGUGUUUGGCACCUCGAUGUCGGCUCAUCUCAUCCUGGGGCUGUAGCCGGUCCCAAGGGUAUGGCUGUUCGCCAUUUAAAGAGGUACGUGAGCUGGGUUUAAAACGUCGUGAGACAGUUUGGUCCCUAUCUGCCGUGGGCGCUGGAUAUUUGAAGGGGGCUGCUCCUAGUACGAGAGGACCGGAGUGGACGAACCUCUGGUGUACCGGUUGUCACGCCAGUGGCAUCGCCGGGUAGCUAUGUUCGGAAGAGAUAACCGCUGAAAGCAUCUAAGCGGGAAACUCGCCUUAAGAUGAGAUAUCCCCGGGGCUUCGAGCCCCUUGAAGGGUCGUUCAAGACCAGGACGUUGAUAGGUCAGGUGUGCACGUACAGUAAUGUACUGAGCUAACUGAUACUAAUUGCCCGUAAGGCUUGAUCCU
This 2979-nucleotide ribosomal RNA is filed under the name Paraburkholderia sp. HC6.4b. RNAcentral describes it as "23S ribosomal RNA". It matches the Rfam family "Bacterial large subunit ribosomal RNA". Lineage: Bacteria; Pseudomonadati; Pseudomonadota; Betaproteobacteria; Burkholderiales; Burkholderiaceae. The record is from RNAcentral.